AGCUUCGAGGUGUAUUAUCAUGUCAGACUGCAAAUCUGAAGUCGGCAUACGGCCCGGGGCUU
This 62-nucleotide transfer RNA is filed under the name Sibon nebulatus (cloudy snail-eating snake). Its description in RNAcentral is "tRNA-Cys". The record is from RNAcentral. Lineage: Eukaryota; Metazoa; Chordata; Lepidosauria; Squamata; Dipsadidae.